CCGACGGUGAGAGAUGAAAGCUGGGGGCACGAACCGGAUUAGAUACCCGGGUAGUCCCAGCCGUAAACGAUGCUCGCUAGGUGUCAGGCAUGGCGCGACCGUGUCUGGUGCCGCAGGGAAGCCGUGAAGCGAGCCACCUGGGAAGUACGGCCGCAAGGCUGAAACUUAAAGGAAUUGGCGGGGGAGCACAACAACGGGUGGAGCCUGCGGUUUAAUUGGACUCAACGCCGGACAACUCACCGGGGGCGACAGCAAUAUGUAGGCCAAGCUGAAGACUUUGCCUGAAUCGCUGAGAGGAGGUGCAUGGCCGUCGCCAGUUCGUACUG
This 326-nucleotide ribosomal RNA is filed under the name uncultured archaeon. Its description in RNAcentral is "bacterial SSU rRNA". It matches the Rfam family "Archaeal small subunit ribosomal RNA", at positions 691 to 1016 of the family's 1478-position model. The record is from RNAcentral.